RNAcentral lists this unclassified non-coding RNA (454 nucleotides) under Hevea brasiliensis (rubber tree). The record is from RNAcentral. Lineage: Eukaryota; Viridiplantae; Streptophyta; Magnoliopsida; Malpighiales; Euphorbiaceae.
AAUACCUUCACAGAAUUUUCAUCUCACAAACCGCAAAAUAGACCACAACUGAGAAAAUCAAUCAAAUAACGCCUCAGAUCUACAGAAGAAGCCGAGAAAAACUAGUCGCCGGAAAUCGAGAAAGAAGACCUCGACGAUGAAUCAGAUGGCAAAAACUAACUACUCCUGAUAUCCGGUAACUGACUGAUUGUCGAAUACGCGGAGCUAGGAAACACGAAAUAAAAGGGAAGGAAAGGGAAGGGAAAAGAAGACGUCUCUGCACAAGCUUUGUUUUUUCACCUUUGCUUAAUAUUAUUUAAUUUCCUCUUUUGGGUGAAAUUGGCAGACACCGUAAAUUCAAGCAAAGUUGAAGGUUACAGUUGGGGCCGCCCACGGACCAACGAAGAAUCCAAGACCCUUCUUCCUUCCUACUUCACCAUAAAUUUCUCCCCCUUUUUUUUCUAAACAAUUGAAU